GGCUUGACGAUAACAAUUAAGAAACUUCAAACCAGGAAAAUCAAAAUCUACACCAGGUCAGUCUUAGAAUGGUUGACCAUCUCGUGGUGCUUUGGUAUAUUUAUUCUACAAGUUAUACAUUUUCAUUUAUUUUCACAAACUGGUUUAUUACAUAGCACAAGUGCACAAAGGAAGCCUGAAAAAUGCUAAUACAUUCCACAAAAUAUGACUCCAUG
This 215-nucleotide long non-coding RNA is filed under the name Trifolium pratense (red clover). Its description in RNAcentral is "long non-coding RNA (TPRA_LNC013243)". The record is from RNAcentral. Lineage: Eukaryota; Viridiplantae; Streptophyta; Magnoliopsida; Fabales; Fabaceae.